Molecule: non-coding RNA, 351 nt
Organism: Nylanderia fulva
Lineage: Eukaryota; Metazoa; Arthropoda; Insecta; Hymenoptera; Formicidae
Source: RefSeq, a predicted model, not a curated record
AAGAAUAAAAAUAGAAAAUAUCAAUUAAUCGGAAAAGGAGAUAGAUAUUAUUCUCUGUUCCUAUUGGUGGAUAUUUUCUAUUUUUUAUUCCUAUUGCCUGUUACCUAGUAUUGUGCAAGGGCUUUUAGUAACAAAAUUCUAUCAUUUUCACUCCACGACUACGCGGUAAUUCAAAAUUUAUAAGGAUAUAUUUAUCUCCGCCGCCUUUUCCGCUAGUGCGCACUUGUGCAGGGAAGAAGAGAUCCGACACGUGUGUCAUCGUGUGUGUCCUGUGUGUUAGUCUUUUUACGCAAUGUCUAAUAAAGUGCAAUUUCAAUCAGAGCAAUCUGUCACAGGUACUUAUAUAUAUAU